Molecule: ribosomal RNA, 403 nt
Filed under: uncultured bacterium
Lineage: Bacteria
Description: partial 16S ribosomal RNA
Rfam family: Bacterial small subunit ribosomal RNA
Source: RNAcentral
GACGAACGCUGGCGGCGUGCCUAAUACAUGCAAGUCGAACGCAGUGGGGACGGGUGAGUAACACGUGGGUAACCUCCCAUCAGAGGGGAUAACACUUGGAAACAGGUGCUAAACCGAUACUGAUGGAUGGACCCGCGGGGCAUUAGCUAGUUGGUGAGGUAACGGCUCACCAAGGCCACGAUCCAUAGCCGACCUGAGAGGGUGAUCGGCCACACUGGAACUGAGACACGGCCCAGACUCCUACGGGAGGCAGCAGUAGGGAAUCUUCGGCAAUGGGCGAAAGUCUGACCGAGCAAUGCCGCGUGAGUGAAGAAGGUUUUCGGAUUGUAAAGCUCUGUUGUUAGAGAAGCGGUAUCUAAACAGAAAGCCACGGCUAACUACGUGCCAGCAGCCGCGGUAAUUC